Molecule: long non-coding RNA, 259 nt
Organism: Prionailurus viverrinus (fishing cat)
Lineage: Eukaryota; Metazoa; Chordata; Mammalia; Carnivora; Felidae
Exons: 3
Source: RefSeq, a predicted model, not a curated record
AGCAGGGAAGGGACAGGAUGGAAGAACACUGAACUGGGACUCAGGGACCAGGUCCGCAGAGUGAUCAUGUCUCCGCAAGCGAUCUUGGGGAACCGGGAAGAGAAGCCGAAACGGGACCCCGAGUGACUGCACUGGCCUGGCGGAGACCCACGUCAGGAUGUGGGAGUCAGGCAGGGUUUUUCACUCAACCAGGAAAAAGCCAGGCCUUGCAGCCUGGCCCCAUAGUCUUCUCAGUGUCUCAGACAGUGGACCCGGCGCA